RNAcentral lists this ribosomal RNA (2212 nucleotides) under Escherichia coli DEC10F. Its description in RNAcentral is "bacterial LSU rRNA". It matches the Rfam family "Bacterial large subunit ribosomal RNA", at positions 1 to 2240 of the family's 2925-position model. The record is from RNAcentral. Lineage: Bacteria; Pseudomonadati; Pseudomonadota; Gammaproteobacteria; Enterobacterales; Enterobacteriaceae.
UUAAGCGACUAAGCGUACACGGUGGAUGCCCUGGCAGUCAGAGGCGAUGAAGGACGUGCUAAUCUGCGAUAAGCGUCGGUAAGGUGAUAUGAACCGUUAUAACCGGCGAUUUCCGAAUGGGGAAACCCAGUGUGUUUCGACACACUAUCAUUAACUGAAUCCAUAGGUUAAUGAGGCGAACCGGGGGAACUGAAACAUCUAAGUACCCCGAGGAAAAGAAAUCAACCGAGAUUCCCCCAGUAGCGGCGAGCGAACGGGGAGCAGCCCAGAGCCUGAAUCAGUAUGUGUGUUAGUGGAAGCGUCUGGAAAGGCGCGCGAUACAGGGUGACAGCCCCGUACACAAAAAUGCACAUGCUGUGAGCUCGAUGAGUAGGGCGGGACACGUGGUAUCCUGUCUGAAUAUGGGGGGACCAUCCUCCAAGGCUAAAUACUCCUGACUGACCGAUAGUGAACCAGUACCGUGAGGGAAAGGCGAAAAGAACCCCGGCGAGGGGAGUGAAAAAGAACCUGAAACCGUGUACGUACAAGCAGUGGGAGCUCGCUUAGGCGUGUGACUGCGUACCUUUUGUAUAAUGGGUCAGCGACUUAUAUUCUGUAGCAAGGUUAACCGAAUAGGGGAGCCGAAGGGAAACCGAGUCUUAACUGGGCGUUAAGUUGCAGGGUAUAGACCCGAAACCCGGUGAUCUAGCCAUGGGCAGGUUGAAGGUUGGGUAACACUAACUGGAGGACCGAACCGACUAAUGUUGAAAAAUUAGCGGAUGACUUGUGGCUGGGGGUGAAAGGCCAAUCAAACCGGGAGAUAGCUGGUUCUCCCCGAAAGCUAUUUAGGUAGCGCCUCGUGAAUUCAUCUCCGGGGGUAGAGCACUGUUUCGGCAAGGGGGUCAUCCCGACUUACCAACCCGAUGCAAACUGCGAAUACCGGAGAAUGUUAUCACGGGAGACACACGGCGGGUGCUAACGUCCGUCGUGAAGAGGGAAACAACCCAGACCGCCAGCUAAGGUCCCAAAGUCAUGGUUAAGUGGGAAACGAUGUGGGAAGGCCCAGACAGCCAGGAUGUUGGCUUAGAAGCAGCCAUCAUUUAAAGAAAGCGUAAUAGCUCACUGGUCGAGUCGGCCUGCGCGGAAGAUGUAACGGGGCUAAACCAUGCACCGAAGCUGCGGCAGCGACGCUGAUGCGUUGUUGGGUAGGGGAGCGUUCUGUAAGCCUGUGAAGGUGUGCUGUGAGGCAUGCUGGAGGUAUCAGAAGUGCGAAUGCUGACAUAAGUAACGAUAAAGCGGGUGAAAAGCCCGCUCGCCGGAAGACCAAGGGUUCCUGUCCAACGUUAAUCGGGGCAGGGUGAGUCGACCCCUAAGGCGAGGCCGAAAGGCGUAGUCGAUGGGAAACAGGUUAAUAUUCCUGUACUUGGUGUUACUGCGAAGGGGGGACGGAGAAGGCUAUGUUGGCCGGGCGACGGUUGUCCCGGUUUAAGCGUGUAGGCUGGUUUUCCAGGCAAAUCCGGAAAAUCAAGGCUGAGGCGUGAUGACGAGGCACUACGGUGCUGAAGCAACAAAUGCCCUGCUUCCAGGAAAAGCCUCUAAGCAUCAGGUAACAUCAAAUCGUACCCCAAACCGACACAGGUGGUCAGGUAGAGAAUACCAAGGCGCUUGAGAGAACUCGGGUGAAGGAACUAGGCAAAAUGGUGCCGUAACUUCGGGAGAAGGCACGCUGAUAUGUAGGUGAAGUCCCUCGCGGAUGGAGCUGAAAUCAGUCGAAGAUACCAGCUGGCUGCAACUGUUUAUUAAAAACACAGCACUGUGCAAACACGAAAGUGGACGUAUACGGUGUGACGCCUGCCCGGUGCCGGAAGGUUAAUUGAUGGGGUCAGCGCAAGCGAAGCUCUUGAUCGAAGCCCCGGUAAACGGCGGCCGUAACUAUAACGGUCCUAAGGUAGCGAAAUUCCUUGUCGGGUAAGUUCCGACCUGCACGAAUGGCGUAAUGAUGGCCAGGCUGUCUCCACCCGAGACUCAGUGAAAUUGAACUCGCUGUGAAGAUGCAGUGUACCCGCGGCAAGACGGAAAGACCCCGUGAACCUUUACUAUAGCUUGACACUGAACAUUGAGCCUUGAUGUGUAGGAUAGGUGGGAGGCUUUGAAGUGUGGACGCCAGUCUGCAUGGAGCCGACCUUGAAAUACCACCCUUUAAUGUUUGAUGUUCUAACGUUGACCCGUAAUC